AUGUUCACAUUUUCCAAUUAUUCUUCACCGUUUUUGAAAAUUCCUCAUGUUUUUAAAUUUUUGUUCGAAUUUCAAAAUUUGUUCACAUGUUUCGGUAAGUGUUCAAUUUUUUUUCAAUAUUUCAAAAUUCUAUUCACACUUUCAAACAUUGCUCAAAUUUUUAUAACUUUGUUCAUAAUUUCCAAGAGAAUGAUCGAAAAUUCUGGAAAAAAUCGGAUCUCUGUCUUUACAUUCUUUACUAGUUUGCCCUUAUUGAAUGUCAGUAGGGCUCACGGGUCGGAGUGGCUAGCGAGAAUGCCUCCUAAGCUGGAGGUAAGGAGCGCGUCACAUAGGAGGUCCCAUAGAACAGCUAUGCACGUCUCAAAAAGCUGUUACGUGGUCGAGUCAAAAGAAGGACAUAAAUACGACCCAGCAACAAAAACGACACAAACACGAAACAGGCGCAAGUGA
This 450-nucleotide ribosomal RNA is filed under the name Triticum aestivum (bread wheat). Its description in RNAcentral is "partial small subunit ribosomal RNA". Lineage: Eukaryota; Viridiplantae; Streptophyta; Magnoliopsida; Poales; Poaceae. The record is from RNAcentral.